UACGGAGGGUGCAAGCGUUAUCCGGAUUCACUGGGUUUAAAGGGUGCGUAGGUGGGCAGGUAAGUCCGUGGUGAAAUCUCUGAGCUUAACUCAGAAACUGCCAUGGAUACUAUUUGUCUUGAAUAUUGUGGAGGUAAGCGGAAUAUGUCAUGUAGCGGUGGAAUGCUUAGAUAUGACAUAGAACACCAAUUGCGAAGGCAGCUUACUACACAGUUAUUGACGCUGAGGCACGAAAGCGUGGGGAUCAAACAGG
RNAcentral lists this ribosomal RNA (253 nucleotides) under uncultured bacterium. Its description in RNAcentral is "partial 16S ribosomal RNA". It matches the Rfam family "Bacterial small subunit ribosomal RNA", at positions 524 to 776 of the family's 1533-position model. The record is from RNAcentral.